GCUCUCAUUCCCUAAGAAUUGAAUCUCACUCAAUCUGACAAAUAACUUGUAUGCAUGUUUGUUUUUAUGCAUUCUGUGCAUGACCAUGAUUGAAGAGCAUGCAAGCAUCUCUCUUAAAUGAACUGCAUAUGCUCAGUCCAAUGCAAACAAAUCAAAGAAGAAGAACUAGAUGAACAAAUACUUUCAAGUUUCAGCCACACAAGAGUCUACCAUGGAGUGAAGAAUCAUGUAACUCAGAUUAGAUUGGAGAGUUUAAACUUUAAAGAGAGCAUGAGGA
Arachis ipaensis is the source of this 277-nucleotide non-coding RNA. The record is from RefSeq and is a predicted model, not a curated record. Lineage: Eukaryota; Viridiplantae; Streptophyta; Magnoliopsida; Fabales; Fabaceae.